GGUUCUUCUCAAACUAUAAGCUUUUAUUCUAUUUUACAUGUCAUUCAUCCAGAACACGACACGUACAUGGGUGGCAUCGUUCAUACUCAACAUGAAAUGACGUGAUGCACACAAGUCACUUGCCCUGUGCUGGGCCCCCGUGCACCAGGCAGGAAAGGGCUCUCACGAAGCCCACCCUGAACGGUGGCCUGCUGGGGCACCGGAUGUGCUGUCCUCAUUUCCCAGCUCUUACACACUCCCUGGAGUUAGAUGGGUCGAGAUGGACAUUUAGCUUGGAACUGAAGUUUCUAAUUUUACCGUGCUGAGUACAGCUGGACUAUUUCCCAGCCUACUU
RNAcentral lists this long non-coding RNA (334 nucleotides) under Bos taurus (domestic cattle). RNAcentral describes it as "long non-coding RNA NONBTAT024049". The record is from RNAcentral. Lineage: Eukaryota; Metazoa; Chordata; Mammalia; Artiodactyla; Bovidae.